This 72-nucleotide transfer RNA is filed under the name Camelus bactrianus (Bactrian camel). It matches the Rfam family "tRNA". From Rfam's summary of the family: Transfer RNA (tRNA) molecules are approximately 80 nucleotides in length. Their secondary structure includes four short double-helical elements and three loops (D, anti-codon, and T loops). Further hydrogen bonds mediate the characteristic L-shaped molecular structure. tRNAs have two regions of fundamental functional importance: the anti-codon, which is responsible for specific mRNA codon recognition, and the 3' end, to which the tRNAs corresponding amino acid is attached (by aminoacyl-tRNA synthetases). tRNAs cope with the degeneracy of the genetic code in two manners: having more than one tRNA (with a specific anti-codon) for a particular amino acid; and 'wobble' base-pairing, i.e. permitting non-standard base-pairing at the 3rd anti-codon position. Lineage: Eukaryota; Metazoa; Chordata; Mammalia; Artiodactyla; Camelidae. RNAcentral also lists the same sequence under 2 other names. The record is from Rfam by way of RNAcentral.
GAGGGUACAGCUCAGUGAUUGAGUGUGUGCCUAGCAUGCACAAGGUCCUGGGUUCAAUCCCCAGUACCGCCA